CCUACGGGAGUCAGCAGUGAGGAAUAUUGGUCAAUGGGCGCGACUCUGAACCAGCCAAGCCGCGUGCGGGAUGACGGUCCAGCGUAUUGUAAACCUCUUUUGUCCGGGAACAAAGUGCGUCACUCGUCCCCUAUUGCGGGUACCUCAAGAAUACGCACCGGCUAAAUCCGUGCCAGCAGCCGCGGUAAUCCGGAGGGUCCGGGCGUUAUCCGGAUUUAUUGGGUUUAAAGGGUGCGCAGGCGGCCAGUUAAGCUGGGGGGAAAAGCCCGGGGCUCAACCCCGGCGCGCCGUGGCAACUGGCGGGCUGGAGUGGGGGAGAGGUAGGCGGAAUGCGCGGUGUAGCGGUGAAAUGCUUAGAUAUCACGAAGAACUCCGAUUGCGAAGGCAGUUCACUGGACGGCAACUGACGCUGAGGCUCGAAGGUGUGGGUAUCAAACAGGAUUAGAUACCCGUGUAGUC
RNAcentral lists this ribosomal RNA (459 nucleotides) under uncultured bacterium. RNAcentral's name for it is "partial 16S ribosomal RNA". It matches the Rfam family "Bacterial small subunit ribosomal RNA", at positions 338 to 795 of the family's 1533-position model. The record is from RNAcentral.